GACGAACGCUGGCGGCGUGCCUAAUACAUGCAAGUCGAGCGCAGGAAGUCAUCCGAACCCUUCGGGGGGACGUUGACGGAAUGAGCGGCGGACGGGUGAGUAACACGUAAAGAACCUGCCCUCAGGUCUGGGAUAACCACGAGAAAUCGGGGCUAAUACCGGAUGGGUCAUCGGACCGCAUGGUCCGAGGAUGAAAGGCGCUCCGGCGUCGCCUGGGGAUGGCUUUGCGGUGCAUUAGCUAGUUGGUGGGGUAAUGGCCCACCAAGGCGACGAUGCAUAGCCGACCUGAGAGGGUGAUCGGCCACACUGGGACUGAGACACGGCCCAGACUCCUACGGGAGGCAGCAGUAGGGAAUCUUCCACAAUGGACGAAAGUCUGAUGGAGCAACGCCGCGUGAACGAUGAAGGCCUUCGGGUCGUAAAGUUCUGUUGUAAGGGAAGAACAAGUGCCGCAGGCAAUGGCGGCACCUUGACGGUA
This 478-nucleotide ribosomal RNA is filed under the name Bacillus sp. oral taxon B77. RNAcentral's name for it is "bacterial SSU rRNA". It matches the Rfam family "Bacterial small subunit ribosomal RNA", at positions 28 to 477 of the family's 1533-position model. Lineage: Bacteria; Bacillati; Bacillota; Bacilli; Caryophanales; Bacillaceae. The record is from RNAcentral.